CGCCUAGAAUUAAAGCGAUUUUUAGCCUC
Molecule: non-coding RNA, 29 nt
Filed under: Mus musculus (house mouse)
Lineage: Eukaryota; Metazoa; Chordata; Mammalia; Rodentia; Muridae
Source: RNAcentral